CAUGCGCGGUCUGCCUCCCGCGGCGGGCCGGGUCUCCAGGGAGGACCUGAGUUUUCUUCACCCAUUGUCAGGGAGGCGCCAUCGCCCUGGCUUUGGGGCUGGGGCCUCCGGGGAGGUUCCGGUAGGGGCGUUGGAGAGGCCGCUCUUUUUGCAAGGCCCGAGACGGCGGGCCCUGCGCAGGCCGCCCUAUUCCGCGCCCUCAGGGCGUCAGUAUCAGCCUGAGGCUGGAUACCCCCGCUGGGCCCGGAUGCCCCCGCUGGGCCCGGAGCAUCCUCCGGCGCUGCCCUCCCAGAGCCCCGCAGAGGCUGAGGUGGCGCGGGGGCGGCCCCGGCUCCGCGAGAAGCGGCGGCAGCGAGGGCUGGAGGACCCGGGCUGCGGGGCUCCGGGGCGUCUGGCCUGGGCGGGACUGAGCCCAUCCAGGGACUGGGACUCUGGGAUUCUGGUGUAGGUGGAUCCGGGGCAGGCUCAGGACCAAGUCCCUCUCCUUCCACCAAGGAGCGCCCAGAGGCCGGCGGGAGCUCCAGGUUCACCUCCUCCUCCUCCAGGAAAUCCCACUUCCAGCUAGAUGUCUGCAUGAACUACUGAAAGCUGCUGAGUGUCUUGCAGCAGCUUGACUACCACACAAAUGAAUCCACUCAAAUGUUGGCAAGUGGAGCAGAGUCCCAGGACAGGUACAGAAACACCCCCAGUUCAAGGAUCUUCACACCUGGAUUUAGGCCUACUCCUGCAACUACCCCAGAACCUGGAAUUUAUAUGUUCAACAUGGAGCCAUCCCAGCCAUGACAACAGAGAAUGUACCACUCUCACGGGGUAAUAUCGAGUUCCAGAAGGCAAGGAUUAACAUUCAGAAAAAUAGGAAAAACAACCUGCAG
RNAcentral lists this long non-coding RNA (872 nucleotides) under Homo sapiens (human). RNAcentral's name for it is "non-protein coding FAM66E:2". The record is from RNAcentral. Lineage: Eukaryota; Metazoa; Chordata; Mammalia; Primates; Hominidae.